GACGAACGCUGGCGGCGUGCUUAACACAUGCAAGUCGAACGGUAAGGCCCUUCGGGGUACACGAGUGGCGAACGGGUGAGUAACACGUGGGUGAUCUGCCCUGCACUUCGGGAUAAGCCUGGGAAACUGGGUCUAAUACCGGAUAGGACCCUGGGAUGCAUGUCCUGGGGUGGAAAGCUUUUGCGGUGUGGGAUGGGCCCGCGGCCUAUCAGCUUGUUGGUGGGGUGAUGGCCUACCAAGGCGACGACGGGUAGCCGGCCUGAGAGGGUGACCGGCCACACUGGGACUGAGAUACUGCCCAGACUGCUACGGGAGGCAGCAGUGGGGAAUAUUGCACAAUGGGCGCAAGCCUGAUGCAGCGGCGCCGCGUGAGGGAUGACGGCCUUCGGGUUGUAAACCUCUUUCAGCACCGACGAAGCGCAAGUGACGGUAUGUGCAGAAGAAGGACCGGCCAACUACGUGCCAGCCGCCGCGGUAA
RNAcentral lists this ribosomal RNA (478 nucleotides) under uncultured bacterium. Its description in RNAcentral is "partial 16S ribosomal RNA". It matches the Rfam family "Bacterial small subunit ribosomal RNA", at positions 28 to 523 of the family's 1533-position model. The record is from RNAcentral.